This is a long non-coding RNA of Sphaeramia orbicularis (orbiculate cardinalfish), 402 nucleotides long. RefSeq lists it as uncharacterized. The record is from RefSeq and is a predicted model, not a curated record. The transcript is spliced from 4 exons. Lineage: Eukaryota; Metazoa; Chordata; Actinopteri; Kurtiformes; Apogonidae.
AGGAUAUUGAAUACCCAAAUUUGUCUAAUGGGGAUUAUGAAGACCAACGUACUGCCUAGUCAGCAACAAGGACAUAAAAUGCAGGUUUACAAAACGUGGACCAACUCUGUCCUGACAGCCAACUGCACUUGCAUGGUUGGAUUGUGUGUGGAACUGCGGUGAAGUAGACGGUGACGUCGACUCUGAAGUGGUCUAUACUCAGAGUCAAUAACCGGGACACAUCUGCCAACGAAUCUGUGGACCCAGAGCUCAGAAGUAUGAGGAGUACCUGAAUGCAGCGUGGUCUGAGAGGUGGAGGACUACUAUUACCUGGCUGUAGUGAUCUACUGGAAAUCCAACACUGAGGCUGUGGACAUGAAGGGGAUGAGGAGCAGCAUCAAAACCAACACCAAAAAACACUGG